Molecule: long non-coding RNA, 352 nt
Organism: Clupea harengus (Atlantic herring)
Lineage: Eukaryota; Metazoa; Chordata; Actinopteri; Clupeiformes; Clupeidae
Exons: 3
Source: RefSeq, a predicted model, not a curated record
CCCGUGUGUGUUUGGUAUGUUAAGAUUCUUGGAAGCAGAGGAACCACAACUUCACUCCCAUAGCUGAAACACAAGACUGGAAAGGCAAAAUGGCGGCGGCAGUCAUGGACAAAGAUUUUAAACUGGUCACCCCUGAUCAUGUUGUGAAGGCUUCUCUUGGUGGUGAUGUCACUCUGCCCUGUCACCUCUCUCCUGAAACCAGUGCUGUUGCCAUGGAGAUCAGGUGGUUUGAGGGGACAGACUGUAUCUACCUGUAUAAGAAUGGUCAUGUGACAGUAAGGGAGGGACUAUGAGGGCAGAGUGAGUGUGAACACCCAGGAGCUGCAGAGAGGAGACGUGUCUCUGAGACUGA